RNAcentral lists this transfer RNA (86 nucleotides) under Felis catus (domestic cat). It matches the Rfam family "tRNA". From Rfam's summary of the family: Transfer RNA (tRNA) molecules are approximately 80 nucleotides in length. Their secondary structure includes four short double-helical elements and three loops (D, anti-codon, and T loops). Lineage: Eukaryota; Metazoa; Chordata; Mammalia; Carnivora; Felidae. The record is from Rfam by way of RNAcentral.
GCCUGGGUGGCUGAAUCGGUUAGGCGUCCGACUUCGGCUCCGGUCAUGAUCUCCCUAGUGUGUGGGUUCAAGACCCACAUCGGGCU